RNAcentral lists this ribosomal RNA (586 nucleotides) under Vermamoeba vermiformis. RNAcentral's name for it is "SSU rRNA". It matches the Rfam family "Eukaryotic small subunit ribosomal RNA", at positions 615 to 1204 of the family's 1831-position model. The record is from RNAcentral. Lineage: Eukaryota; Tubulinea; Echinamoebida; Vermamoebidae.
GCAGUUAAAGCUCGUAGUUGGAUUUCGGAAGGUCCUUAGUAAUCCGCCCCUUCGGGGAGCGGGUUACUGGCCUCCUAUGUUCCUAACGGUCCUCAUCCGCGAGGGUGGGGAAUCAACCGCUAGGAUCGUUUACUUUGAGGAAAUUAGAGUGUUCAAAGCAGGCGUAACUCGCCUCCGAAUACGUUAGCAUGGGAUAAUGGAAUACGACUUCGGUCUUGUUUCGUUGGUUUCGCUUGGCUGAAGUAAUGAUUGAUAGGGACAGUUGGGGGCAUUAGUAUUUAGUUGUCAGAGGUGAAAUUCUAGGAUUUACUAAAGACUGACCAAUGCGAAAGCAUUUGCCAAGGAUGUUUUCAUUAAUCAAGAACGAAAGUAGGGGGAUCGAAGACGAUCAGAUACCGUCGUAGUCUCUACCGUAAACUAUGCCGACCAGGGAUCCGGAGAGUUUGCAUGGAUGACUCCCCGGGCACCUUGUGAGAAAUCAUAAGUGUUUGGGUUUUGGGGGGAGUAUGGUCGCAAGGCUGAAACUUAAAGGAAUUGACGGAAGGGCACCACCAGGAGUGGAACCUGCGGCUUAAUUUGACUCAAC